CUACGUGCCAGCAGCCGCGGUAAUACGUAUGUCGCAAGCGUUAUCCGGAAUUAUUGGGCAUAAAGGGCAUCUAGGCGGCCAGAUAAGUCUGGGGUGAAAACUUGCGGCUCAACCGCAAGCCUGCCCUGGAAACUAUGUGGCUAGAGUACUGGAGAGGUGGACGGAACUGCACGAGUAGAGGUGAAAUUCGUAGAUAUGUGCAGGAAUGCCGAUGAUGAAGAUAGUUCACUGGACGGUAACUGACGCUGAAGUGCGAAAGCUAGGGGAGCAAACAGGAUUAGAUACCCUGGUAGUCCUAGCUGUAAACGAUGAUUACUGGGUGUGGGCAUGAAGAGUGUCCGUGCCGAAGCUAAUGCGAUAAGUAAUCCGCCUGGGGAGUACGGCCGCAAGGCUGAAACUCAAAGGAAUUGACGGGGACCCGCACAAGCGGUGGAGCAUGUGGUUUAAUUCGAUGCAACGCGAAGAACCUUACCUACUCUUGACAUCCAGA
RNAcentral lists this ribosomal RNA (490 nucleotides) under uncultured bacterium. RNAcentral's name for it is "bacterial SSU rRNA". It matches the Rfam family "Bacterial small subunit ribosomal RNA", at positions 501 to 992 of the family's 1533-position model. The record is from RNAcentral.